This 3233-nucleotide small RNA is filed under the name Drosophila pseudoobscura pseudoobscura. Its description in RNAcentral is "GA32749". The record is from RNAcentral. Lineage: Eukaryota; Metazoa; Arthropoda; Insecta; Diptera; Drosophilidae.
CAGAAGAGCGAGCAACAACACAACUGCGAAAGCAACAAAGCAAAUGCAGGCCAAAACGACGGGAUGGGACAGUGGCAGGGGAUAGGCGAGAGGCGGCAGUUAAUGGCAGAGCGCAAAGAGCAACAGCUGCUAACGAUGUUGACGCCGAUGACGGCCCAACGAAACACACACAAACGCACACAUUCACACAAAACCAGACGGUCAGACGGACGGAACGGAUGGAACGGAUGGAAGAACGAAGCAGCACCACCAGCAGCAGCAGCAGCAGCAGCAGCAACAGCAGACGGUUCGGUUGCGUUGCCUCUUUUAUGGCUAAAAACGCUAAUGUGAUGGCGACCAUGCUGCUGCGGGGGAGAUGGGAAUGACAGAGAGCAGAACACGCAAAAGCCUCAGCAGGAGCAGGCCAAAGAGGAAGAAUUAGAGGCAGGAGAAGAAGCAGCGUCAACGACAGCGACAGAUGAUGGCCGAGGCACAAAAACACACAAGCCAUGUAGAAGGCACCCUCGUGGAGGCACAACUCGCUCAUAAAGAUGGACGGCAGACGGAACGAAGCUCGGGGGCCAGCGGCCAAUAUGGCAAGCCAUGCCAUUUCCAUCUCCAUUCUCAUCACACCCACCCAGGCACACACACACACACACACGCACCCACAGAACACACUGCAGAAAUUAACGUAAAACAAAUGAAGCACACGCGCACGCAUGUGCCGCAGUUGGCGCUGACGCCUACGCCUACGCCUACGUCGACACCGCUCUCAAACUUCCUCUGGCCUCUCGCCCCACUCACACCACACCACACCCUCUGCACCCAACACCCAGCACACCUAACCGCACCAAUAUUUUCGCCGUACAGCAACAACAACAAUAAAACAAAUGAGCAGAGCUGCAGAGAAUGCAAUUCGACCCCCAAAAACGGAGAGAGCAAGCGAAAAAUGCAAAUGACAGGAAGCCGGCAGCCAGUAAUCUGGUGUGGUGGCGUCGCAACGGGGUGAAGGGGAGCAGUAUGUCUCAAUUUACAGGAAAUUCUGUCCAAACAUGCAAAUAGACAAGACUUGAUGUUUGAAAUUGGUCAGAUGUUUGUAGCGCACAUAACGACAACAUCUCCAACUUCGCAAAGAAUUAUUAGUGCUUACAUACAUAUGUAUAUUCUUAAUAAGUCGAGUCGAUUUAGCGAUGAUCGUUUGUCCAUCUCUUUCUAUGUAAGCCAGCGGUCGGCAUUAUGUGCAUAGGUGCGCUGACCUCAUUUACGUUUUGCUUGCAAAAAAAAAUUCGUGCCGAACUCUGAUGUAAGGUAUUCUUUAAGUUCUAAAAAUAUCUUAUAUUAUUGGACAUAGUCUUAUUUCGUGAAUAGGCAGAUUGUUUGUAGAAAUCAUAGAAUCCUUGUAUUUUAAGGGCACGCAACUAAGACUUUCUCUAUCAACUUAUCUAAAUAUUUAAAUGUGAGUAAAACGUCAGUGCGGCUGUCACUCUCUUCAAACAAAAGUUUGUGUGGGGCACCCUAUUAUGCUGGUAAAGCAAGUAAGGCGAAGGGAAAAGGAUAUGCGGAAAAUGUAUUCAACUUCAAUGCAUACGAAGGCUACUCUUUAAGUCCGUAGCCUAAAAGUGAAAGAACGACGAAAUAUCAUUGAAAAUGAUUUUAUUGCUCUUCAAAAUAUUAUCCAUGAUAAUGUAUGCACGUUAGCAUCCGCUAAAACCAUUCUCCAAAGCACAUGUUUCAGUGUCAAAUUAUGCUGUAUCCCACGAGCGAAAUUCUUGCCGGCCAACUGUUCAUGCUAUGCUGAAUGUAUCUGUGUCCCUUUAAUGCCGAAAGAUGCCUCUAUCUCAUGGUAUUUUAUAUGACAUAAUUGCAAUAGCCAAUACCGCACAGCACACAUUUUUCCGGUGCAACAGAGAACGGAGAUUCGUUCUUUAGCGAAGGACGCAAUACUUCUGAAAUUGUUCUACCAGUUUUUCGCAGUGGCAAUGCAUGGUGCUUCAUUACCAAAACUUGAACUAAGUAGAUCGAAAAUCAUGACACGAAAAUUUGCAUGUGUUGAUUUCAUUUUUAUCCAAGAGGCAUGCUUCGUUUAUCGUUAAACUAUAUAAAACGUAGAAUAAAAAGUGCUAAGCACGAUGUGGUCAAGAAAUGCCAAACUUAUAAAUGGAAGUGUCGAUUUUGACCUCUUCAUAUUAAAAACAGCCAAGUCUACGGAACUUUUGGAACAGCCCUCGUAUGCACAAUACAAAAUUAUGAUCUUGCUCACUUUUGUAUACAUAUGUACGUUGAGUUGUUGACACGUGUAGAUGGGCCCUUAAUUUCCAGGAGGUACCCAUGUACGUAUUCGCCAUGGGAACACAACCACACACAUGCGAACACACACUCGAAUUGGCACGUUGCAUAGGCACAUUUCAGUUGCGUUGCAGUUGUUGCUGCCGUGCCGUGUAGGAGCUUUCUUCUGUGAGUGUCUGUUUUGUGUGUCUGUUUAGAGUGCAGCAGAACCGCAGAGUUGUUAAGUUACCUGUAACCUCGCAGAAAAUAUAAUUAACAUUCAAUUUAACAGAUAGCACCCUCUCCUAGGACUGCAUGAGAAAAUACCAAUUUAUGAACUUUCGGUUUUUUUUUUGUUUCGUUUUAUUUAUUAUCAAACAAAUCGAUGUGCCCGCGAGCGUACAUAUUUCGCCCGCCAAUACUGCCAACCCCCCAGCACAUUCCUUUAAUCACACAACCUGCGUCAACAGUAAAUACAAGCAACGAAAAUAAGCAAGCAAACAAAGCAGAGAGGCUAAAACAGAAAAGGAAAGAGUAAAGAAAAACUUUCAUUUUCAAUGUCAAGUGCAAGAAAAAGAGAGCAACAACAGCAACGAAACGGCAAGCAGCCGGAUGCCGGCUGAGGGCGACUUUUCGAAAGAGAGAGACAUAAACAGAGAUCAGUGAAAUCUUGAUAAAUACAAACAAAAAUACUACAGCAAGACACUCCCUCACACCACCAUGUGGCGGCGGCGCUGGCAAAGUUGCAACAAGCCGAGCCGCGUGACCUUCGACAACAACAACAACAAAGAGAGAGGAGGCACCUUCUGCAUAUAUGUAUACACCCACACAGAUGCCCUCAAAUACAGAUAAGAUGUAUUGAAAAAUUGCCAAGAAAAAUCUAUGCACAUACAUACAUACAUAUGUAUGGAUAUUUUCCUGAUACUGCACGAUACUCUUAAGCAAAUGUAUAUUUAUAUUUAUGUAUCUUCAUUGUUACUGGGCCCCAU